RNAcentral lists this ribosomal RNA (463 nucleotides) under bacterium enrichment culture clone aHCH4_C8. Its description in RNAcentral is "bacterial SSU rRNA". It matches the Rfam family "Bacterial small subunit ribosomal RNA", at positions 50 to 530 of the family's 1533-position model. The record is from RNAcentral.
AACAAAUGCAAGUCGAGCGAGGGGAGUUCUUCGGAACAAACCUAGCGGCGGACGGGUGAGUAACACGUGGGCAACCUGCCUCAAAGAGGGGAAUAGCCUCCCGAAAGGGAGAUUAAUACCGCAUAAAGUUAUUUUUUCGCAUGAAGAGAUAACCAAAGGAGCAAUCCGCUUUGAGAUGGGCCCGCGGCGCAUUAGCUAGUUGGUGAGGUAACGGCUCACCAAGGCGACGAUGCGUAGCCGACCUGAGAGGGUGAUCGGCCACAUUGGAACUGAGACACGGUCCAGACUCCUACGGGAGGCAGCAGUGGGGAAUAUUGCGCAAUGGGGGAAACCCUGACGCACCAACGCCGCGUGAGCGAUGAAGGUCUUCUGAUUGUAAAGCUCUGUCUUUUGGGACGAUAAUGACGGUACCAUAGGAGGAAGCCACGGCUAACUACGUGUCUCCAGCCGCGGUAAUACGUUC